UACGAAGGGUGCAAGCGUUACUCGGAAUUACUGGGCGUAAAGCGUGCGUAGGUGGUCUGUUAAGUCUGAUGUGAAAGCCCUGGGCUCAACCUGGGAAUUGCAUUGGAUACUGGCAGGCUAGAGUGCGGUAGAGGGUAGUGGAAUUCCCGGUGUAAGCAGUGAAAUGCGUAGAGAUGCGGAGGAACACCGAUGGCGAAGGCAGCCCCUGGGCUAGUACUGACGCUCAUGCACAAAGCGUGGGGAGCAAACAGG
Molecule: ribosomal RNA, 252 nt
Filed under: uncultured bacterium
Lineage: Bacteria
Description: partial 16S ribosomal RNA
Rfam family: Bacterial small subunit ribosomal RNA
Source: RNAcentral